GCUGGCGGUCUGCUUAACACAUGCAAGUCGAACGAACUCUUCGGAGUGAGUGGCGGACGGGUGAGUAACGCGUGAGAAUCUGCCUGUGGGUCGGGGACAACCACUGGAAACGGUGGCUAAUACCGGAUGAGCCGAAAGGUAAAAAAUUUAUUGCCCACAGAUGAGCUCGCGUCUGAUUAGCUAGUUGGUAAGGUAAAAGCGUACCAAGGCGACGAUCAGUAGCUGGUCUGAGAGGAUGAGCAGCCACACUGGGACUGAGACACGGCCCAGACUCCUACGGGAGGCGGCAGUGGGGAAUUUUCCGCAAUGGGCGAAAGCCUGACGGAGCAAGACCGCGUGGGGGAGGAAGGUUUUUGGAUCGUAAACCCCUUUUGUCAAGGAAGAAGUUCUGACGGUACUUGACGAAUAAGCCUCGGCUAACUCCGUGCCAGCAGCCGCGGUAAUACGGAGGAGGCAAGCGUUAUCCGGAAUGAUUGGGCGUAAAGCGUCUGUAGGUGGCCAGCUAAGUCUGCUGUUAAAGAUCACAGCUCAACUGUGGGAAGGCAGUGGAAACUGGCAAGCUAAAGCUGGUA
This 572-nucleotide ribosomal RNA is filed under the name uncultured bacterium. RNAcentral's name for it is "bacterial SSU rRNA". It matches the Rfam family "Bacterial small subunit ribosomal RNA", at positions 35 to 652 of the family's 1533-position model. The record is from RNAcentral.